This is a transfer RNA of Intoshia linei, 73 nucleotides long. It matches the Rfam family "tRNA". From Rfam's summary of the family: Transfer RNA (tRNA) molecules are approximately 80 nucleotides in length. Their secondary structure includes four short double-helical elements and three loops (D, anti-codon, and T loops). Lineage: Eukaryota; Metazoa; Orthonectida; Rhopaluridae. The record is from Rfam.
GCCUCCUUAGCUCAGUGGUUAGAGCGUUCGGCUGUUAACCGAAAGGUCGUCGGUUCGACACCGAUAGGGGGCG